CCUCACUCAUCCUCAUUUAUACUCUAGCUAAAGCCUGUAGAGGAAUUCAUUUCUCUGAUGCUACUGGUCACUGAUAUAAUGCCUGCAAACUUGCAGAAAAUGUAAACUCAUCUGCUUGCAAAAAGAACAAGACUUUUCAAUGGGUCAUAUAAUUUCUAUAUAUGGGUUUGUCAGGGUAUUUAUAUCGGCAGACAUUUUGUGCUAUGAUAGAAAUUAAAAGUGUAUAUUCUGAGUCACUCUGAACAGAGCAGACUCCAUUUUGUUAUUUCCAAGUUAACAAAAGACACAAGAUUUCUAUCUGUAAAACUAACCACUUUGCCAGAGCUAAUGGAAUAGAUGCAUUCUAAACCCAGACAUUUGUGACAGAGGAGAUUAAAUAAUACAAUUUUACUUUCUAUAUGUACAAGGUCCCAUUGUAAGUUACGGGUCAAAACUCAGAAUUUGCCAGACACAUAGUCUGGACAAAACUUAAAGAAACGGUUUGAAGUGACAGCAAAUCUAAGUUAUAGCAAAGAUAAAGAUAACGCAAAAUGACGUCAAAAUAGCCACCAGGAAAAGUUAACUCUUUCCUGGAUAGUUAUGUUUAGUGGGACCAAAUACCUAAAUUGCGAUCCCUAGAUAACCACACCUCUAGUGCUUCUUUUGGGUUAUCAACGGAUGACGUACAGAGAGUCUGGCCCUUUAAAAGUUAGGACAAAGGGAAGACAGGGGGGUUAGGAAAAAGAGGAGAGAGGAAUUGGAAGUUCGGGGACUCCAACUCGGACAUGCAGAGAAACCCAGGACAACAUCUGAGACUAACACUAUACUCUUAAAACUCUAACACUUAGAAUUAUACUGACUUUCUAACCAACACCACCUUUCACCAUAACUCAUGCACCUACAGACAUCCAAAUA
Non-coding RNA from Pelobates cultripes (western spadefoot toad), 894 nucleotides. The record is from the annotation of a GenBank genome assembly. NCBI's taxonomy places the organism in Eukaryota, Metazoa, Chordata, Amphibia, Anura, Pelobatidae.